This 4329-nucleotide long non-coding RNA is filed under the name Xyrichtys novacula (pearly razorfish). The record is from RNAcentral. Lineage: Eukaryota; Metazoa; Chordata; Actinopteri; Labriformes; Labridae.
AAUUGGGGUAAGGGAAGUAAACUGGUGCUCCAAAAAUAUCUUGUUAGUCCAUAGGCAAAACAAGAGCUCCCACUUUUGAUAAUAAGAUGCUAUCCUAAUUAUACUUAUUUGAUCAUGAACUUUUUCACAAGAUAACUUAAAUUAAGGAUCUUAAAUCACCUCCACCACCUCAUGUACAGAGAGUUUUACAGUGUGGGUCUACAGGAGCUGCACACGUGCACAUUGUGUAUUUUCAUGAAUCCAAAACAGAUGCUCCUAAGAAAAUAUUGGCUGCUCUUUUACAAAUCUGCCUCCUGUGGGGAUACAGCUUGUUCAACUGAGCCUCAGGGAUCGCAAGAUUCUCCUCACCCCACAACACCACACUGGGGUUUAUUAAGGUGAUAGAUAAGACUGGAGGACAGGGGGAAGGAGGGAUGCUGGGUAAUAGGAAACAGAGGGGACAAUAUUCAUGGAAAAAUCCCAGUCUGGGGGACCUGUUAUUCUUUGAGGACUGAAUAUAAUCUCAGGCGCAUUCACUCAAAACAUGGAGAAGAGUAAAGUUUCAGGGAAAGCUGGAGUAUGUGAAGAACACAAAGGCCAGUUUAAGUUCAACUGAGCCGUAUACAUGACUGAGGAAAUCUUUUCCGACUGCAUUAUCCAGGUAUGUUAGUCUGACUAUGAGGAGUUAGAUUUACUGUGAAUUUAGUUGAGCUAAUGUGUUUUUUAAAAGUACAGUUUUAGUCUGACUAAUGCAACGAAUUGAUUCUUUUGAACUGCAUGUAAAGGUAAUGACUGCUGUAAGGUCUGUUUUCUCUCUAGAGAUGUUGCAUUUCAGUCUGAGCCACUGCAGUGUCUGAUCAAUGAAUUAUAUUUCAUACUGGGGCGUGUCUGUCAGUGAAAAGACUUCUGUGAUGGCCGCUUUUGUACUCCAUUGCUCCUCUAGUUUCCCUCCUCUCUCCUCAAUUCUCUCUCCUCCGAACAGGAUUAAAGGCAAGAACAUUGCUAAGCAUGGGCGGACGCUAAGUGCAGUUUUUCAGAUGGGGACUGAGGGGAAAUCAGUCAAGGGCUUUGGGAUCUGAGAGAAGUCUUUGAACCUGACCUGACUGUAGCCAUGUUUACAUGUGCAAAAUUUCUCAAUCCGAUUAAAAAUUUAAGGGAUCGGAUAAUCUGAAUCCACUGUUUAUAUGGGUGCAAAAUCAAAUAAUCCGAUCAUGUCGUGUGCAUACAUGCACCCAGCUUUGUUCAGAUUAGAAGCAUUUGGACAUGUGCAGAGUUGUCUGAUUUUGCUAAAAAAACCGCAGAAGAAGAGUUGUAUUUACUGUUUUGUCAAAGGUUACACUGUGUGUGCAGAUGUGACAUCAUUACGCUGUAUGUACACCUUGUUAUAUUAUCGGAGGAGCAGACACGGCACCUGCGGUUGGGUUUUUUGCCAGAGUGUUAAUAAUGAAACCUCCUGUACUGACCUCAAUAAAUAAGCCAAAGGCUAAAGAGUGAAGACGGGGUCAGGUAAGAGAGUCACGAUCGGAAUAAGUCUUUACAUGGAUGCAUUUCAGAAUAAUGAUCAGCAUAAACCACCCCUCUUGAUCAGAAUACAUUUUCUUUCUGAUUGAGCUGAAUUGGAUCAGAAUCUUCAGAUCGACAUGUUUACAUGACGCAUUUUUAUUCCGAUCGGGUAUUUAUUCCUAUGCAAACGCAGCUAUCACACGACCAAAUUGACUAAUGAGAAAUGUUAGCAAAAAUAUGUGGUCUUGUCUUUGAAAUGCUCUCCAAAGACCAGCAGGGAAAAAGAGGUACAAGUGCUGUAUUAAAGCUAUACAGCUAAGCAAACUUGAACAAACUUUUUACAUGUGAAACAGGAGUUUGUCAGUCGUUUUCUGUGAUUAUCGCUGCAUGUACUUCAAUCCACUGUUUUUCAUCUUAGAAUAACAACUAGAGCAUCAACUUGAGAAUUGAGGGCCACAUUUUUCUCUUAUUUUCUAAAAACUAAUUUCACAGAUCAUGCUGAGGCUGAGUUCAGUUUGGUUGAUAGGCUGUGCACAUCGUCAGUGACCUUGCUGAGGUGUGUGUUUUAUACAAAAAUUCACCACACGUGCAGGAGUCAGAGCCUGUGCUAGAAUAAAAAGUGUGUCACUCAUUGCCUGCAUCAUCUUAUUUUAGCCCAUGGGCUUUUGGUUAAACUGGGGAGCUUAUACACGUGUGCAGGUGCAUGCACAUGGAACCUACAGUCUGCGUAGAUAUCCUGACAUCGGCCUGCGUAUCUUAUAUGUACUUUAAUGUGGAAGUUAAACCCAGAAAGCUCAACAAAACUCGUGCCUCACUUGUUCCUUGUCCCCUCUCCCCCACAUUCAGGUCACACUUUGAUGCACAGCAAUGUGCUGCAGUGGUCUACUUGUAACUCUAUCAUUAACUCGCAGCCCUGCCUGCCUGCUGCACAAUGUGAUCUCCUUAAGUGUUCACUGCACUAGAACUCAUUCAGGCCCAGGAUGUGUUCGGUCCAGAGGAGUUGUAAGAUGAUAUUUUAAUUUGCCUCAUUUUUAUGGAGCUCUCCUGGUCCGGUAUCAUUUCUCACUGAAUGACCUUGACAGACAAAGAAGCCUCAGCAUGAAUGAAUAAGAGCUGGUUAAUAGUUAAUGCCCACCUCCAUUAUUACUUGAACUUGGAGCAACCAAGGCCACAUGCAUGCAGGCUAUUCUUUGUGUACCUGUGUAGGUUUGGAAGGGACUCUUUUUCUCUUUGCAGAUGACUGGAGGUGAAGUUUAAAUUAUUGUUAGUUUAAUUGCUGGAAUUUCAGUGUCAGCAGGAAUAACUGAUGAAAUAAUGGUUCAAUAAAAUAAACUCUAGGAAGAUGUCAUAAAAGAAAACUAAGGGUAAAAAACUUAAGCUGGAUGGUAAUAGUUUGGCAGAGAUGGAUGAUGUACCUGGAACUUUCGUAAAAGUGCAGACUUCACUUCAGACGAUGUCAUAAGUUAAAGUUAAAACUGUCAGACAACUCUCAAUUAAAUAGUUUGACAAGUUCAGCAGAACUUUGUUUCUCUUUGGUGUUUCUACCUCAUUGCUUCUUGCAGUUUCUUCUAUUUAUACAUGCAGAAUUUAAAAGUGUAAAAUUAGAGCAGCUUGAAUUGCCUGCUUGAGCUCGCUCAUGGACACUGCUUAUUUCUAUGUUAAAUUUUACCCAUGAACUGUAAAGUCUUACAGUACCUGGCAUAAACAGUAAAAUCAGCAACAAGACUGAAAAUUGUUGCAAUGAAAUUUCUAAUGCUUGUAACUGCUGCCAGGGGUGUGUGUGACAGACAACAUAACUUAAAACUGCUGAAGAGUCUGUUUUACUUAUAACUUCAAUCAGUUACAAUCAGCCUUUGGCUGUCAGGGGAAAGUGAGCUGAUGCUUUUUGUUAAAAAAGAAAUCUGUACAUGUACAGGAAAAAAACAGCCAAAAGUUAAGAGGGACAUCAAUUAUGUGCAAGUCGACAUUAAAAAUGAGCUUGCUCAAACUUCAGUUCACUUAGAUAAACCACUUAGAGAACCUGGUCAUAUUUAUCGUUAAUAUUUAAAAUUUUGUACAAAUUCAUGAAGAUUUUUUUCAGCUGUAUCUAACUUCUUAUUUCCUAGACUAAAUGCAUGAUCAAAUUCUCCUGGAAAAUCAUUCAAUAUUUAGUUUAAAAACAAAGAAAAUCCAAUUUCAACAAUUUAUCAUGGGGAAAAAAAAUCUGCAGUUUUGAAAACUUAGUCCGUAAAUACAUCAACGAUGCUAUUAUAAUCCAUUGCUUAAUGGAUAAAGCCUUGGCCUGGAUGAGAGUUCAUCAGGUGGUCCCCAACCAUCAUGGGGUGUUUCGACCCUUAACCACAACACCCUCAAGUUGGCAGGUCCGCAGUGACUGGCCAGGUCACUGCGCCUCUCAUCCAGGCUUCCAGCUAUUGUCCUCUCUCUUAUGCCAGAGCCAACAGGAGGCUCUCUCUGCCGCUUCUCCCAGCCUACGAACGGCUGUUUUCCUCAAGUGGCCUCUCAGUCCCACCUUAGUCAGGAGAUUCCACACUGACUGUGCUGGAAAUCCUCGACAUCCUACUUCCACUGUCAUCAGCCAUGUUGUCCACCCCUUGUCUCGGCAGUCCUGGACAAGCUGCUGGUACUUGGUCUUCUGUCGCUCUGCUGCUUCCUCGCAUCCCUCCUCCCACGGGACCGUUAAUUCCACCAGGAUGAUCUUUUUUCCCUCUGGAGACCACAUAAUUAUAUCUGGUCUCAGAGUGGUGGACAGUACCGCUUCUGGGAAGUGGAGCUUCCUCCCCAGGUCAACCUCCAUCUCCCAUCCUUGGGCCAACUGCAGGAGGUUUUGCUUGGUUUGGCCUUGGACGA